CGAACGGGGAGCAGCCCGGAGUCUGAAUCAGCUUGUGUGUUAGUGGAACGGUCUGGAAAGUCCGACGGUACAGGGUGAUAGUCCCGUACACGAAAAUGCACAGGUUGUGAACUCGAAGAGUAGGGCGGGACACGUGGUAUCCUGUCUGAAUAUGGGGGGACCAUCCUCCAAGGCUAAAUACUCCUGACUGACCGAUAGUGAACCAGUACCGUGAGGGAAAGGCGAAAAGAACCCCGGCGAGGGGAGUGAAAAAGAACCUGAAACCGUGUACGUACAAGCAGUGGGAGCCUCUUUAUGGGGUGACUGCGUACCUUUUGUAUAAUGGGUCAGCGACUUAUAUUCUGUAGCAAGGUUAACCGUAUAGGGGAGCCGAAGGGAAACCGAGUCUUAACUGGGCGUUAAGUUGCAGGGUAUAGACCCGAAACCCGGUGAUCUAGCCAUGGGCAGGUUGAAGGUUGGGUAACACUAACUGGAGGACCGAACCGACUAAUGUUGAAAAAUUAGCGGAUGACCUGUGGCUGGGGGUGAAAGGCCAAUCAAACCGGGAGAUAGCUGGUUCUCCCCGAAAGCUAUUUAGGUAGCGCCUCGUGAAUUCAUCUUCGGGGGUAGAGCACUGUUUCGGCUAGGGGGCCAUCCCGGCUUACCAACCCGAUGCAAACUACGAAUACCGAAGAAUGUUAUCACGGGAGACACACGGCGGGUGCUAACGUCCGUCGUGAAGAGGGAAACAACCCAGACCGCCAGCUAAGGUCCCAAAGUCAUGGUUAAGUGGGAAACGAUGUGGGAAGGCACAGACAGCCAGGAUGUUGGCUUAGAAGCAGCCAUCAUUUAAAGAAAGCGUAAUAGCUCACUGGUCGAGUCGGCCUGCGCGGAAGAUGUAACGGGGCUAAACCAUGCACCGAAGCUGCGGCAGCGACGCUUAUGCGUUGUUGGGUAGGGGAGCGUUCUGUAAGCCGUUGAAGGUGGCCUGUGAGGGUUGCUGGAGGUAUCAGAAGUGCGAAUGCUGACAUAAGUAACGAUAAAGCGGGUGAAAAGCCCGCUCGCCGGAAGACCAAGGGUUCCUGUCCAACGUUAAUCGGGGCAGGGUGAGUCGACCCCUAAGGCGAGGCCGAAAGGCGUAGUCGAUGGGAAACAGGUUAAUAUUCCUGUACUUGGUGUUACUGCGAAGGGGGGACGGAGAAGGCUAUGUUAGCCGGGCGACGGUUGUCCCGGUUUAAGCAUGUAGGCGGAGGUUCCAGGUAAAUCCGGUACCUUUUAACGCUGAGGUGUGAUGACGAGGCACUACGGUGCUGAAGUAACAAAUGCCCUGCUUCCAGGAAAAGCCUCUAAGCAUCAGGUAACAUCAAAUCGUACCCCAAACCGACACAGGUGGUCAGGUAGAGAAUACCAAGGCGCUUGAGAGAACUCGGGUGAAGGAACUAGGCAAAAUGGUGCCGUAACUUCGGGAGAAGGCACGCUGAUAUGUAGGUGAAGCCCCUGCGGGUGGAGCUGAAAUCAGUCGAAGAUACCAGCUGGCUGCAACUGUUUAUUAAAAACACAGCACUGUGCAAACACGAAAGUGGACGUAUACGGUGUGACGCCUGCCCGGUGCCGGAAGGUUAAUUGAUGGGGUUAGCGGCAACGCGAAGCUCUUGAUCGAAGCCCCGGUAAACGGCGGCCGUAACUAUAACGGUCCUAAGGUAGCGAAAUUCCUUGUCGGGUAAGUUCCGACCUGCACGAAUGGCGUAAUGAUGGCCAGGCUGUCUCCACCCGAGACUCAGUGAAAUUGAACUCGCUGUGAAGAUGCAGUGUACCCGCGGCAAGACGGAAAGACCCCGUGAACCUUUACUAUAGCUUGACACUGAACACUGGUCCUUGAUGUGUAGGAUAGGUGGGAGGCUUUGAAGCGUGGACGCCAGUCUGCGUGGAGCCAACCUUGAAAUACCACCCUUUAAUGGCUGGUGUUCUAACGUAGACCCGUGAUCCGGGUUGCGGACAGUGUCUGGUGGGUAGUUUGACUGGGGCGGUCUCCUCCCAAAGAGUAACGGAGGAGCACGAAGGUUAGCUAAUCCUGGUCGGACAUCAGGAGGUUAGUGCAAUGGCAUAAGCUAGCUUGACUGCGAGAGUGACGGCUCGAGCAGGUGCGAAAGCAGGUCAUAGUGAUCCGGUGGUUCUGAAUGGAAGGGCCAUCGCUCAACGGAUAAAAGGUACUCCGGGGAUAACAGGCUGAUACCGCCCAAGAGUUCAUAUCGACGGCGGUGUUUGGCACCUCGAUGUCGGCUCAUCACAUCCUGGGGCUGAAGUAGGUCCCAAGGGUAUGGCUGUUCGCCAUUUAAAGUGGUACGCGAGCUGGGUUUAGAACGUCGUGAGACAGUUCGGUCCCUAUCUGCCGUGGGCGCUGGAGAAUUGAGGGGGGCUGCUCCUAGUACGAGAGGACCGGAGUGGACGCAUCACUGGUGUUCGGGUUGUCAUGCCAAUGGCACUGCCCGGUAGCUAAAUGCGGAAGAGAUAAGUGCUGAAAGCAUCUAAGCACGAAACUUGCCCCGAGAUGAGUUCUCCCUGAGACUUUAAGUCUCCUGAAGGAACGUUGAAGACGACGACGUUGAUAGGUCGGGUGUGUAAGCGCAGCGAUGCGUUGAGCUAACCGAUACUAAUGAACCGUGAGGCUUAACCUU
Molecule: ribosomal RNA, 2654 nt
Filed under: Enterobacter sp. MGH 25
Lineage: Bacteria; Pseudomonadati; Pseudomonadota; Gammaproteobacteria; Enterobacterales; Enterobacteriaceae
Description: bacterial LSU rRNA
Rfam family: Bacterial large subunit ribosomal RNA
Source: RNAcentral